This is a long non-coding RNA of Numida meleagris (helmeted guineafowl), 1774 nucleotides long. RefSeq lists it as uncharacterized. The transcript is spliced from 2 exons. The record is from RefSeq and is a predicted model, not a curated record. Lineage: Eukaryota; Metazoa; Chordata; Aves; Galliformes; Numididae.
AUGUUCCUGAGGUAGACAGACAGACAGACAGACAGACAGACUGUUGCGAGGUCUGCGGGGACGUCGGAAGGCGCGGUGAUCCGCGGGGCUGGCUGGUGUCAAUGUGGACUCUCCUGUUGGGGCCUAUCCUGGAGUUGCAGAGAUACUUCCCCUUGUCUUUUUGAGCCUUGCUUUUCAUGAGUGUUCCCUAGUUCUUAUAAAAUAUGAGAAAUGAUGAUAUUUAUGCUGGGAAGAAUUAAGUCUCGUUCUUCCCAAGCUCAUCUCUGUGGCCAGAGGUGGCAAGAGUGAAGCUCAAGUUUUGCUUGUGGAGCGCUCAGCAGUAACAGAGAAGGAAGGUAAGCUGAAUGACGAAUUUUCAUUCUGGUCUCUGCUCUAACGAUGGCAGUGUCCCAGUCCUUGGUGAAAUGCCAAAUUGCAAGCUUGAGGAAAAGCAAGCCAGGCAGAGAAUCAUUGAAUGGCCUGGGUUGGAAGGACCUUAAAAGUUACCUAGUUCCAACCCCCUGCUGCGGGAAAAGAUACCUCCCAGUGACUACGCAUAGGGAAAAUCCCCAAGGUGGGCAAACCUCCUUUAUCUCGAAAUGUUAUCCUUAUCAAACCCUACAGGACAGAGCUGGGAAGGAAAGCAACCCAGUCCGGCUGGUUGAUGGGAUGACCCCUUGGAGAAGGAAAGCUGGGAACCCAUUGUGCCCAAAUCCCAACCACGAAAUCAGGCUGAACGUCUCUCCAAAGAGGCUCCGAGUGCCUCUGGUGGCACGCACGGGGGUGAUGCCCACGCUCAUCUCACCGCUCCAGGCACUUGGUGUAGUGCGUGCCGUUCCAGCCGCAGUUCCCGCAGCGAUCCCCGCGGACGUUCACGUCCCUGAAGCAGCUCAGCGGGGCACGUGGCUACGUGGAGAGAUUUGCUGCAAGGAAACAAUCCGUGAUCAGAGAACGGACCAUGCUCGUUUAUCCGGAAUAAUCUGGAGCAGAAGACUGGAAUAAAGUCUGCAAAUCUCUCCAAAGCCUAUGUAUUUUUUUUUUUUUUCACUAAAACAAAUGAGCCAGUAUAUCUUAGAUUUAUCCUGCAACCAGAAUCCCUACCAUUACGCUCCGUAUUAACAGUAAUGAUCCUUGUCAGACGUCAGACACAACUCCCAGAGCUGGCUUUGAGCAAGGCAGAACCAUUCCCAACCCAGGGAGCUCCCAGUUCUUUCAGAACAUCCUUGUAUUUGCCAAACAUUGCCUACAUCGUGACCAACACCACCACCUUCGUGUGCAAGGGUUAUGGCUCUGCAGAUACCCAACUUCUUAUAGAUGUGGUAGAGCACGAAGGAACGUGGUUUUAUUUGCAGGAGACUUGUGUGUGCUCAUAAUGAAACCUCCAGCUCCGGUCCUGGUGGUCACUGCUGUCAUUACCGAGGAGGAAGUGCAGAGCACAUCUGCUCUGCCGCGGCCUUGGGACGUGACUUGGGGAAGUUUGGUGCUUCCUACAGAACUGAGACAGCCCCAAAGAGGAUGUGGGCAUGCACUGCGCGUCACGUCAGAACUGGGGGAAAUGCAGAUGCACAAAUUGAGAGCACUGCGGCUUUCAGCUGCACGGGAGGGGUCUCAGUGGCUGUUUUAUGCACACCUUUGUUUCUGGGUCUUCUCUACUGACAAGUGCCAUUCCCGUGUCCCACUGAGAUUCACCUAAAUGGCACUGCAGCAGCUGGUGCCUGAGGAAACCACUUUUCUGCUGCCCUAGCUAUUGUAAAUAAAAACUUUAUACUGUCUUUUAGAUAUGUUGUUUCACCUA